Molecule: ribosomal RNA, 253 nt
Filed under: uncultured bacterium
Lineage: Bacteria
Description: partial 16S ribosomal RNA
Rfam family: Bacterial small subunit ribosomal RNA
Source: RNAcentral
GACGGAGGAUGCAAGCGUUAUCCGGAAUUAUUGGGCGUAAAGCGUCCGUAGGUGGCCUAUCAAGUCUGCUGUUAAAUCCCAGGGCUCAACUCUGGAUCAGCAGUGGAAACUGAUAAGCUAGAGUGCGGUAGGGGCAGAGGGAAUUCCCGGUGUGGCGGUGAAAUGCGUAGAUAACGGGAAGAACACCCGUGGCGAAGGCGCUCUGCUGGGCCGUAACUGACACUCAUGGACGAAAGCUAGGGGAGCGAAAGGG